Molecule: transfer RNA, 58 nt
Filed under: Eutreptiella gymnastica
Lineage: Eukaryota; Euglenozoa; Euglenophyceae; Eutreptiales; Eutreptiaceae
Source: RNAcentral
UGGUGGCUGAGCGGUAAAUCAUUUGACCGAUGCCCUCGAGUUCCGAGUUCAAGUCCGA